Molecule: ribosomal RNA, 301 nt
Filed under: uncultured bacterium
Lineage: Bacteria
Description: partial 16S ribosomal RNA
Rfam family: Bacterial small subunit ribosomal RNA
Source: RNAcentral
CAGCCGCCGCGGUAACACGAAGGGUGCAAGCGUUAAUCGGAAUUACUGGGCGUAAAGCGUGCGUAGGCGGUGAGUUAAGUCUGCUGUGAAAUCCCCGGGCUCAACCUGGGAAUGGCAGUGGAUACUGGCUCGCUAGAGUGUGUCAGAGGAUGGUGAAAUUCCCGGUGUAGCGGUGAAAUGCGUAGAGAUCGGGAGGAACAUCAGUGGCGAAGGCGGCCAUCUGGGACAACACUGACGCUGAGGCACGAAAGCGUGGGGAGCAAACAGGAUUAGAUACCCCAGUAGUCCCUGUCUCUUAUAC